AAAGCUCAAAUUUUAAAGCUGGCACCUCCGGUGUCCGCGUUGUAAUUUUGUGAGGCAUCUCCGGGUGGGGCGCCGGCCUAAGUUCCUUGGAACAGGACGUCAUAGAGGGUGAGAAUCCCGUGCUUGGCUGGCUGUCCCCGUCCAUGUGAGGUGUCUUCGACGAGUCGAGUUGUUUGGGAAUGCAGCUCAAAAUGGGUGGUAAAUUUCAUCUAAAGCUAAAUAUUGGCCAGAGACCGAUA
This 239-nucleotide ribosomal RNA is filed under the name Morchella sp. RNAcentral's name for it is "partial large subunit ribosomal RNA". It matches the Rfam family "Eukaryotic large subunit ribosomal RNA", at positions 104 to 339 of the family's 3401-position model. The record is from RNAcentral. Lineage: Eukaryota; Fungi; Ascomycota; Pezizomycetes; Pezizales; Morchellaceae.